Molecule: non-coding RNA, 359 nt
Organism: Dehalococcoidia bacterium SM23_28_2
Lineage: Bacteria; Bacillati; Chloroflexota; Dehalococcoidia
Source: Rfam
CCUGAUGAGGGUUUGAUCCUGGCUCAGGACGAACGCUGGCGGCGUGCCUUACGCAUGCAAGUCGAGCGAGGUACAGGGCUUCGGCUUUGUACCUAGCGGCGGACGGCUGAGUAACACGUAAGUAACCUGCCCUCCAGUGGGGGAUAACUUCUCGAAAGAGGGGCUAAUACCGCAUGCGUUCCCGGGGGGAAGUUCCCCGGGAGGAAAGCCUUCGGGCGCUGGAGGAGGGGCUUGCGGCCUAUCAGGUAGUUGGUAGGGUAACGGCCUACCAAGCCUACGACGGGUAGCUGGUCUGAGAGGACGAUCAGCCAGACGGGGACUGAGACACGGCCCCGACUCCUACGGGAGGCAGCAGCGAG